UACGGGAGGCAGCAGUGGGGAAUAUUGCACAAUGGGCGCAAGCCUGAUGCAGCCAUGCCGCGUGUAUGAAGAAGGCCUUCGGGUUGUAAAGUACUUUCAGUCGUGAGGAAGGUGUUAAGGUUAAUAACCUUAGCAAUUGACGUUAGCGACAGAAGAAGCACCGGCUAACUCCGUGCCAGCAGCCGCGGUAAUACGGAGGGUGCGAGCGUUAAUCGGAAUUACUGGGCGUAAAGGGCACGCAGGCGGUUAAUUAAGUUGGAUGUGAAAUCCCCGGGCUUAACCUGGGAAUGGCAUUCAAGACUGGUUAGCUAGAGUCUUGUAGAGGGGGUAGAAUUCCAUGUGUAGCGGUGAAAUGCGUAGAGAUGUGGAGGAAUACCGGUGGCGAAGGCGGCCCCUGGGACAAAGACUGACGCUCAUGUGCGAAAGCGUGGGGAGCAAACAGGAUUAGAACC
RNAcentral lists this ribosomal RNA (452 nucleotides) under uncultured bacterium. RNAcentral describes it as "bacterial SSU rRNA". It matches the Rfam family "Bacterial small subunit ribosomal RNA", at positions 340 to 785 of the family's 1533-position model. The record is from RNAcentral.